CGAGUUGAUCCUGGCUCAGAUUGAACGCUGGCGGCAGGCCUAACACAUGCAAGUCGGAGGGGUAGAGUUCCUUCGGGACUUGAGGACCGGCGCACGGGUGCGUAACGCGUAUGCAAUCUACCUUAUACAGGGGAAUAGCCCAGAGAAAUUUGGAUUAAUGCCCCAUAGUGUUAUCGAAUCGCAUGGUUUGAUAACUAAAGUUCCAACGGUAUAAGAUGAGCAUGCGUCCCAUUAGCUAGUUGGUAAGGUAACGGCUUACCAAGGCUACGAUGGGUAGGGGUCCUGAGAGGGAGAUCCCCCCACACUGGUACUGAGACACGGACCAGACUCCUACGGGAGGCAGCAGUGAGGAAUAUUGGACAAUGGGCGCAAGCCUGAUCCAGCCAUGCCGCGUGCAGGAUGACGGUCCUGUGGAUUGUAAACUGCUUUUGUACAGGAAGAAACACUACUUCGUGAAGUAGCUUGACGGUACUGUAAGAAUAAGGAUCGGCUAACUCCGUG
RNAcentral lists this ribosomal RNA (501 nucleotides) under uncultured bacterium. RNAcentral's name for it is "bacterial SSU rRNA". It matches the Rfam family "Bacterial small subunit ribosomal RNA", at positions 9 to 507 of the family's 1533-position model. The record is from RNAcentral.